CCUACGGGAGACAGCAGUGAGGAAUAUUGGUCAAUGGGCGCGAGCCUGAACCAGCCAAGUAGCGUGAAGGAUGACUGCCCUACGGGUUGUAAACUUCGGUUAUAAAGGAAUAAAGUGAGGCACGUGUGCCUUUUUGUAUGUACGGUAUGAAUAAGGAUCGGCUAACUCCGUGCCAGCAGCCGCGGUAAUACGGAGGAUCCGAGCGUUAUCCGGAUUUAUUGGGUUUAAAGGGAGCGUAGAGGGGUUGUUAAGUCAGUUGUGAAAGUUUGCGGCUCAACCGUAAAAUUGCCAGUGAUACUGGCAGUCUUUCGUACAGUUGCGCUAGGCGGAAUUCGUGGUGUAGCGGU
RNAcentral lists this ribosomal RNA (347 nucleotides) under uncultured bacterium. Its description in RNAcentral is "partial 16S ribosomal RNA". It matches the Rfam family "Bacterial small subunit ribosomal RNA", at positions 338 to 682 of the family's 1533-position model. The record is from RNAcentral.